Scomber japonicus (chub mackerel) is the source of this 1126-nucleotide long non-coding RNA. RefSeq lists it as uncharacterized. NCBI's taxonomy places the organism in Eukaryota, Metazoa, Chordata, Actinopteri, Scombriformes, Scombridae. The transcript has 2 exons. The record is from RefSeq and is a predicted model, not a curated record.
AGUCUCUCUGUGUCCUCUGUAGGAGGGAGAGUCUCUCUGUCCUCUGUAGGAGGGAGUGUCUCUCUGUGUCCUCUGUAGGAGGGAGAGUUUCUCUGGUUCCUCUGUAGGAGGGAGAGUCUCUCUGGUUCCUCUGUAGGAGGGAGAGUCUCUCUGGGUCAUCUGUAGGAGGGAGAGUCUCUCUGUGUCCUCUGUUGGAGGGAGAGUCUCUCUGACAGAAACUCUGCUGACUGAAGAUCAGCUGCUGAAAUCAAACAUCAAACACUCUGCACUGUGAAGCAGAUCUGUCUCAGACUCACAUUUUUCCCUCUAAACUUCUCACAUGCUUUCAUUUCAAUAAAUGUUCAAAUGAUCCAAUAUUUCAGCAAAAAUCAAAGAUUAGAGAAAAAGUCCAAAAACUGAAAACACAUUUGUGUAUCAGACCUUUGUUUUUUCUUCUUUCCUCUCCCAUUAAUCAUUUAUCAAUAAUUUAACUACAUCACUCAUAAUACUGCAGUACUUUUACUGUAAUAGGAUUUUUCAUGCAGGACUUUUACUAGUAAUAGAGUAUUCUUACUUUGCUCUACUGGUACUUUUACUACAGUAAAGUAUCCGAUUACUUUUUCCACUUCUGGAUUUACAGAAAUGUUGGAAUGUUUCUUUACUGAUGGAUAUUUUUUAAUAUCAACUCAUCACGUGAGUUUUAGUCUGACAGUAACUUCCCGCCCCUCCCUGAGGAUGAAGCCACGCCCCUUGUUUCCUGGAUGCGUCAAGCUGUUGGACACAGACUGGAAACCGCAACGGAUCAGACUUCAAAAUAAAAGCUCAUAACUGUGCUCAUCAAAGAACAAACACUUCAGCCCAGAGAUGUUUAUUUUCAAACACUAUUAAAGUCUCUGCUGGUGUGUGCUGUGAUAUGUUGGUUCAACCUUUACUUAAACAGCGUGAUUCACUUUCUUUUGCUUGUGUACUUUGGACAAUAAAGUAAAAAUACAACACAAACGUUACACCUAAAACAACGACAAGUAAAAUAUACAAUGGUGCAUCAAAGCAGUGUUGCAGGUUCGGAUGGAGACAAACUCAAACAUUUAAAACCUGCUAGCUAAAGAAUUAAUUUGAAAGUGUCCAUUUAAUAAAUCUAAUAAACAAC